Molecule: long non-coding RNA, 1046 nt
Organism: Physeter macrocephalus (sperm whale)
Lineage: Eukaryota; Metazoa; Chordata; Mammalia; Artiodactyla; Physeteridae
Exons: 4
Source: RefSeq, a predicted model, not a curated record
GCGAGCGAGCCCCAGGUCUCAGAGCGGGCCGAGGCGUGCGGUGGACGCCCACGUUUACACGCGCGGUGCAAGACUAACACUGCCCUGUCCCAAACGGCGCUGAACUUAAGCCACCUGCCAAUUGUGGCUCUGUCUGUUAGAUCCAAAAGUUAUUUAGCAUGCUGUGAUUCCCGGCUCAGUCCCUUUGGUCCCCCGUCCUUGGCAUUUCUGCAGACAGCAGUCCUCAAAGCGGCCUGAGGACCACGCACAACCUGAUUCGUCAGGGCAGCCAAGGAUAUACCUCAGGAAUUACUUUACCUUUGGUUCAUCUAAAAGUUUCAAGAUGGGGAGAACAAGGUCAUCUGUUCUUGAAGCAAAAUGAGCAGUGCCCCCGAGCCCCUCCAGUCCAGAGCCACGGUCGACAGCAUUGUCACCUGGAAAGGCUGAGCUGCCCAGGCCGGGAGGGACCAGCUGCCCCUCGGGACCCUCUCCGGUCUCCUGCACUGUGUCCAGAUCAGAACUCACUACCUGAAGGUGGUGAGAUGUCUUUUAAGAGAUGUCUUGGAACCACAGUGCAUUUCCAGACCAACCUGCAGAGGCGUCUGUCCUGCCCGUGGCCUGGUAGUUAGUGGAUCAUCUGUCAGGAUGUUUACCUUCCAGUACUAGAUUUUCUGCUGCUUAAACACAGAGAAGUAAAAAGGACAGAAAAUCUAUAGUGAAAAGAACUUGCCUGUUAUUAUCUCAAUAUAAAAACUGGGGUAACGUGCUAAGAAAUAAGAAUACAUUUCUCUCUUCAAGGAGUAGUCUUUUAUUUAACAUAACAAUGCCUGUAUCAGCUCAUAAUUCUGAGGUCACCUUGCGUUUACUGACCCGGCCGGCUGGCUUCCUUAGCAGGUCAACACCCACACCAUCCAGAGCUGCAUCUCAACGAUUUCUGAGGACUCUGAGCGGCUCUGCCGCCUGCCUGGGUGGACUUUCGAGAUUGUUCCUCCUGCAGCCAAGUUGUCCUUCUCACCUAAAUCUAAGUAUUUGUCUGUGUUUUGCACCCACUAUCUGUUUAAAUAGAA